CCUCCUGCAAGGGGGCGGGACUCUGAUGAGUUCAGGGUCAGAGGUCAGCAGGAGGAGAGGAAGGGGAUGGAAGAUGAAGAGGAUCUCCCUGGAUGACGGGGAGGUGGAGGAGCUGUUCCUGGUUACGCUCGCUGCAGGCCCUCGCUCCGGGUCAGCAGCUCCAAAGUGUUCAUCAAUGGCCAUCCUGAUGUGAAGUGGGGGAAGCAGGAAGCAGCACCUGAAGACCACAGCUGGGCUGAUGAUGGCGGAGGCCGAGGGUCUGGUGAACACGCUGGAAAACUGGAGGGUCGUUGAUAAGAUCGUCCUCUCCACCAAAACUCCAGAGAAGAAGAAGAUAUUUGGAAAAGGGAACUUCCAGCUUCUGGCAGACAAAAUCAGACAAACAGCAGGAAUCAACGCCGUGUUUGUGAACGUGGAGCGCCUCUCUCCUGGGGCGGAGGUGAACCUUUGCUCACACUCAUUCACAGCCAUGCACAACACUAACACUGCUCUUUUAUUUUUAAUUCAAAUAUAUUGUACUUUUCUAACCUUUGUCGUGUGACAUUUCUUUGCUAUUUUUUAGUUAAAGGUCACCUAUCAUGCUAUUUGUAGGCAUUAGCAUAGGUCUCAGAUAUAUACAAAUAUAUAAAAA
Notothenia coriiceps (black rockcod) is the source of this 631-nucleotide long non-coding RNA. RefSeq lists it as uncharacterized. The transcript is spliced from 3 exons. NCBI's taxonomy places the organism in Eukaryota, Metazoa, Chordata, Actinopteri, Perciformes, Nototheniidae. The record is from RefSeq and is a predicted model, not a curated record.